CUCUUUAAGAAAUUAUUAGUUAUAAUGAAUAUAACCUUUCGACUGGAAUCGAUUGCAUUGACCACGUUUUCUGCUAUACCUUUACCGCCGAUAAAGUCCGUAGCGUCCAGACAUAAUUCGAAGCCCAUACUGCUUACCUUGUCAUGGAACUGUUUCAUCCAUUCCCAAUCUGUAUGACUAUAUGAUAUAAAAGCAUCAUACGUAUAUUCCUGUGUCAGUUCUUCGUAAUUUCUCAUUUUCCUUUUAAAU
RNAcentral lists this long non-coding RNA (249 nucleotides) under Mytilus galloprovincialis (Mediterranean mussel). Lineage: Eukaryota; Metazoa; Mollusca; Bivalvia; Mytilida; Mytilidae. The record is from RNAcentral.